CCACCAAGAAAGCUUAAUUCUUUUUCUGAUCGGCGACCAGUAAAGCUUGAUUCUUUAUCAAUCCCCCCUACAAAAUCUUGGCAAGAAUUCGUCUCUUCUGCUUUUUCAACACCAUCAGGUACUCCUAAAUGCAUUCUUUCCCUUGCUUGUGGUCAAUUUGGUGGUGGUGGUGGUGGUGGUGGGUCUCAAAGACAAGAUUCACCAUUACAAUCAAUCUCAAAUUCCCCUGUCUCACCAUCAUCUCCUUCCUUUGUUCCUCCAUCAUUAGGAUGCCCUUCUUCUGUUUCACCACCAUCACCAUUAUCUCCUUCCUUUGUUCCACCAUCUCCAUCUCCAUCACCAUCACUUUUAUCCCCUCCUCUUGUUUCACCUCACCGCACCGCCAAGAAAGCCUAGUCCUUUUUCAACCCCCACAAAAUCUAGGCAACGGUUAAUUUCGUCUGCUUCAUCAACACCAUUAAGUAGUCCUAGCUUUACUCUUUGUAUUCAAUGUGGUGGUGGGUCUAAAAGAAAAGGUUCCCCACUGUUAUUAUCACCAUCGUCAGGAGCAAAGGGGAAUGGAGGUGGUUCUAGUACUCCUCCCAGCGCAGCUGCUAAGAAGAGGUGGAUGAGUGUGAGAAAUGCCUUGAAACAGAUGCAGCAUAAGUGGAUGAUGGACAACAUCAGUCAACAAAACAAUGGAGCUCCGGAAAUCUCCGUAAAUGAGAAACCAAAUAUCGAUAUCAACAAUCAGGGAGUUUACGGAACUGUGCCGUCUGACAAAAAUGCAAGAGGAGUGCAGGAGGUUGUGCACGAUGAAAAUGUGAGUUUUGACAGAGAUGGAGAUACCAUGAGAGUAUGUUACAUGUGUUGCUGUGGGAGACAAAAGCAAAUCUUC
Papaver somniferum (opium poppy) is the source of this 877-nucleotide long non-coding RNA. RefSeq lists it as uncharacterized. The transcript is spliced from 3 exons. NCBI's taxonomy places the organism in Eukaryota, Viridiplantae, Streptophyta, Magnoliopsida, Ranunculales, Papaveraceae. The record is from RefSeq and is a predicted model, not a curated record.